Molecule: long non-coding RNA, 897 nt
Filed under: Lathyrus oleraceus (garden pea)
Lineage: Eukaryota; Viridiplantae; Streptophyta; Magnoliopsida; Fabales; Fabaceae
Description: Pisum sativum (pea) long non-coding RNA (PSAT_LNC034994)
Source: RNAcentral
UACUGACUUUCAUAAUUAACCUAAUAGGUAAUCAUUUGCAUAUGUAAGUUCAACUGAUUUUCAUGACAAUUCUUCAAUAUGAUUUCAUCAUUUUUAGCACUUGAAGUCAUAACUAAUACAAUAUUCAAAAGAUCUUGGCCCGACCUUUCAUUCAGCAGUAGCAUGUCCAAGUCUUUCUAAUAAUCAAACCAGUUCUCCUAACUUCACAACAACUCAAGAAUCAGCAGGGCAAGGUCCAUUUGAGCAGUCAUCAAAAUACUUUCACAUCAGUAGGAGUUGUGCAACUGUUAGCAAUCUGAAGCAUUAAACACAAACCCUAUAGUAUCCAAGACCAAAAGUAUCUCUCGGCAAAUCCCAACAUUGCACUCAAUAAGUCCCAACAGAGUUUGAAUUAGAAAGGAAACAUUCAUCACACUAUAGGCCUGUAAUGAGUUACCCAUGUUUGAGUUGUACUAACCCUAACCAUAAUUAUGACCAUUCUAACAUGUUUACCUGCAACUUCCAAUCACACCAAAAUAAAACCUGCAAUCUGCAACAAAUCAAUUUAAAACUUGCAUCUCAAAAAUAACUAACCAAACCUGCAUUUAAACAUUUACCAGUUUAACAGGUCAUCUUCGAUUCACAAUAGUCACACCAUAUAACUCUAAUUCAAUAUAUUACCUGUUAUUAACCAGACACAUUUGAUCACUGACAAAACUAAAAACCUAACUAAUUAACUGACUAAGACAUUUCACAGCUAACUUCUUAAUUUGGAUUUGCAUUUAGCCUAAAUUACAUGUGGAUUUGUAACAGAAUGGGGAGAAGGUUCUAUAAAAGCUCAUCACAAUUCAGUUGGAAAAAGGAUUUUCACUAUCAAAACACUCACAAAAUCGACCUCUGAACUCUCUCUCUCUCUCU